CAAUAGCGUAUAUUAAAGUUGUUGCAGUUAAAAAGCUCGUAGUUGGAUUUCUGGUAGGAGUGACCGUGCCAGACUUGAUUGUCUGUGUAUUGUGUUGUCUCCAGCCAUCCUUGUGGAGAACUUUUCUUGCAUUAAUUUGUAGGGAUUGGGACCCGCAUCGUUUACUGUGAAAAAAUUAGAGUGUUUAAAGCAGGCAAUCGCUUGAAUACAUUAGCAUGGAAUAAUAAGAUAGGACUUUGGUACUAUUUUGUUGGUUUGUAUACCAAAUUAAUGAUCAACAGGAACAGUUUGAGGAUAUUCGUAUGAACAUGUCAGAGGUGAAAUUCUUGGAUUCUGAUCAGACGAACUACUGCGAAAGCAUUUAUCAAGGAUGUUUUCAUUAA
This 383-nucleotide ribosomal RNA is filed under the name uncultured eukaryote. Its description in RNAcentral is "partial 18S ribosomal RNA". It matches the Rfam family "Eukaryotic small subunit ribosomal RNA", at positions 592 to 976 of the family's 1831-position model. The record is from RNAcentral.